Molecule: long non-coding RNA, 323 nt
Organism: Orcinus orca (killer whale)
Lineage: Eukaryota; Metazoa; Chordata; Mammalia; Artiodactyla; Delphinidae
Exons: 3
Source: RefSeq, a predicted model, not a curated record
AAAGAGUGUUCUUCCUAUGUUUUCCUCUAAGAGUUUUAUAGUGUCUGGUCUUAAAUUUAGGUCUCGAAUCCAUUUUGAGUUUAUUUUUGUGUAUGGUGUUAGGGAGUGUUCUAAUUUCAUUCUUUUAAAUGUAGCUGUCCAGUUUUCCCAGCACCACUUAUUGAAGAGACUGUCUUUUCUCCAUUGUAUAUCCUUGCCUCCUUUGUCAUAGAUUAGUUGACCAUAGGUGCAUGGGUUUACCUCUGGGCUUUCUAUCUUGUUCCAUUGAUCUAUGUUUCUGUUUUUGUGCCAGUACCAUAUUGUCUUGAUUACUGUAGCUCUGU